CAUAGACAUCCUGCUCAGUACCCUUCAUGGCACUACAGGGAUUGUCAAAGCACCUGUUGGGACAUGGCACAAUUUGAGAUUGGGAUGCAUAAGUGUGGGGCAUGCAUGUGAGUCAACUGGAGACAUUUUUAUAUUGGUUUGUACCCCCAAAAGAGAUGGAAAGAGCAAAUAUGCA
Talpa occidentalis (Iberian mole) is the source of this 175-nucleotide long non-coding RNA. RefSeq lists it as uncharacterized. The record is from RefSeq and is a predicted model, not a curated record. The transcript has 3 exons. Lineage: Eukaryota; Metazoa; Chordata; Mammalia; Eulipotyphla; Talpidae.